Molecule: ribosomal RNA, 468 nt
Filed under: uncultured bacterium
Lineage: Bacteria
Description: partial 16S ribosomal RNA
Rfam family: Bacterial small subunit ribosomal RNA
Source: RNAcentral
GAUGAACGCUGGCGGCGUGCUUAACACAUGCAAGUCGAGCGGAAAGGCGCUGCUUUUGUGGCUCUCUCGAUUGGCGAGCGGGUGAGUAACACGUGUGUAACCUGUCCUUAUCUGUCGGAUAACUUCUGGAGACAGGGGCGAAUACCGCAGAGGAUCUCCUGCUGCAUGUUGGGGGAUGGAGAGUGUCGGCGUUGGGGGAUGGACUCGCGGCUUAUCAGCUUGAUGGUGGAGUAGUGGCUUACAAAGGCUUUGACGGGUAGCCGGCCUGAGAGGGUGACCGGCCACAUUGGGACUGAGAUAGGGACCAGAAUCCUACGGGAGGCAGCAGUGGGGAAUAUUGCACAAUGGGCGGAAGCCUGAUGCAGCAACGCCGCGUGCGGGAUGCCGGCCUUCGGGUUGUAAACCGCUUUCGCCUGUGACGAAGCGUGAGUGACGGUAAUGGGUAAAGAAGCAACGGCUAACUACGUG